AGCAGCCGCGGUAAUUCCAGCUCCAAUAGCGUAUAUUAAAGUUGUUGCAGUUAAAAAGCUCGUAGUUGAAUUUUAGGCCUGGCCGGGCGGUCCGUCUUUGGCGAGUACUGUCUGUUGUCGGGUCUUCCUUCUGGUGAACCAAUAUGUCCUUUAUUGGGUGUGCUGGGGAGCCAGGACCAUUACCUUGAAAAAAUUAGAGUGUUUAAAGCAGGCUUUUGCUCGAAUAGAUUAGCAUGGAAUAAUAGGAUAGGACGUUGUGGUUCUAUUUUGUUGGCUUCUAGGACCACCGUAAUGAUUAAUAGGGAUAGUUGGGGGCAUUAGUAUUCAAUUGUCAGAGGUGAAAUUCUUGGAUUUAUUGAAGACUAACUAUUGCGAAAGCAUUUGCCAAGGAUGUUUUCAUUAAUCAAGAACGAAAGUUAGGGGAUCGAAGACGAUCAGAUACCGUCGUAGUCUUAACCAUAAACUAUGCCGACUAGGAAUCGGGCGACGUUAUUUUAAUGACUCGCUCGGCGCCUUAUGG
Molecule: ribosomal RNA, 520 nt
Filed under: uncultured Archaeospora
Lineage: Eukaryota; Fungi; Glomeromycota; Glomeromycetes; Archaeosporales; Archaeosporaceae
Description: SSU rRNA
Rfam family: Eukaryotic small subunit ribosomal RNA
Source: RNAcentral